CACUACCUGGAACACGGUGACGAUGGCCCACAGCAGGGAGUCGAAGUUCUUCCUGUCAGGCACGGUGUCUCCGGUGUCUGUCUUCAGGCUGAACUUGCAGCCGAAAAGGCGAGAGAACCAAGACCAGAGGCGGGACAGACAGAGGGAAGCCACUCUGGAUUUGGGUGGCAACUGGAACCUGGGACACCUGCCUCAUUCAGCCUCUCUGGACUGUGAAAGCCCGGCCUGCCUGGCUGCCUAGCCUCCAGCCGACCCUGACCCUGAGCUCCAGGCUAGACGGGCACACAGCAGGCGCUCAGAACACCCCAGUUGGAGCCUGGUGCCUGCCCCCACCCCCG
Long non-coding RNA from Homo sapiens (human), 338 nucleotides. The record is from Ensembl. Lineage: Eukaryota; Metazoa; Chordata; Mammalia; Primates; Hominidae.